GUAGGUGGCAAGCGUUGUCCGGGAAUUAUUGGGGCGUAAAGCGCGCGCAGGCGGUUCUUUAAGUCUGAUGUGAAAGCCCACGGGCUCAACCGUGGAGGGUCAUUGGAAACUGGAGAACUUGAGUACAGAAGAGGAAAGCGGAAUUCCACGUGUAGCGGUGAAAUGCGUAGAGAUGUGGAGGAACACCAGUGGCGAAGGCGGCUUUCUGGUCUGUAACUGACGCUGAGGCGCGAAAGCGUGGGGAGCAAACAGGAUUAGAUACCCUGGUAGUCCACGCCGUAAACGAUGAGUGCUAAGUGUUAGGGGGUUCCCGCCCCUUAGUGCUGCAGCUAACGCAUUAAGCACUCCGCCUGGGGAGUACGGCCGCAAAGGCUG
RNAcentral lists this ribosomal RNA (375 nucleotides) under uncultured organism. Its description in RNAcentral is "partial 16S ribosomal RNA". It matches the Rfam family "Bacterial small subunit ribosomal RNA", at positions 527 to 896 of the family's 1533-position model. The record is from RNAcentral.